GAGCUGCGAUGUGAGAAAAUGGUCUGAACAAGCCGAAAUAUAUAAAGGUAAAUGGGUGAAAUGCUCAAGAAAAUCAGCUCGAAGAGCUCCAAAACCCGAGAAA
Non-coding RNA from Drosophila pseudoobscura pseudoobscura, 103 nucleotides. The record is from Rfam. NCBI's taxonomy places the organism in Eukaryota, Metazoa, Arthropoda, Insecta, Diptera, Drosophilidae.